UUGAUGAGACUGGGCGAGCCUAUGCGUCGAUGAUGUGCCGGUGCAACGGUCAUCACUCAUCAAGUCAUCAAGGCCGUAUAGUGAGAGUGGAUCAUCAGCGUCCACAAUUUUGAAAGACUGAAGAAAAUACCUUUAUGUCCAGGUGCCCGAGCAAUUAUUUGUUGCCAUGACGACGACAUCAGCAGUGUUUGUUUGCUAUUUGUUGAAUAUUUGGCUGAAAACAAUAUUUUUCUGGUUAAGCGAGGUUAUUAUUUCACAUUUCUUUUCAGUUUAACUUGAAUAAUCAAAACAAGGAAUAUUAAGUUUGGAUUAUCCGUGGUCAACUCUACAAAACAAUGAAGGACAAGUUGAAAAUCCAUGUCAUCUACUGCGGCGCCUGAGGAUACGCCCCAAAGUUCCGCCGUAUCAAGGCGGAACUGGAUGGGGCCUUUCCGAGGGAGCUGGACAUCACUGGUGAGGGAACCGCCAGCGUCACUGGCUACUUCGAGGUCCAGAUCGUCGGCGGCAAACUUCUUCAUUCCAAAAAGAACGGCAAUGGCUACGUGGACACUCCAGAGAAGAUGAACCGCAUUGUGCAGGGGAUCAAGGACGCGCUAGCAGCUGCCUGCUGAGUGCUGAUCAGUGCCGGAAACUGAUGUGAAACGGUGUGUCACGGUGAACAGUGACGUCACAGCCACAAUGACGUCAGCCGCAGAAAGCCCGGCUGGCGGCGGACCGAUGAUGGGCUGAGGCGGCACUGGCUACCGGUGAAGCGCCGCUGCUUCAGCCAUUUCCAGCUGAUUUUCUGCAUCCGAACAUCCGUGUUUCUAAAGAUGUAAUCACAGAUCUCAGCAAGAUUCAUUGAUUCAGAGUAAUUUGGUCCGUCUUUCACCCGUCUUGAACGUAACAAACCGUUAUUUGCAAUCGAACCAUUAAUGUGCCUGUGUUGUUCGUGAUGAUAGCAAGUCUAUCCGCAUUUACGUAGUGAAUGUUUUACACAUCGAUUACUUUCCGCAAUAAAUUGAAAGUUUGAUGUAA
Amphibalanus amphitrite is the source of this 1017-nucleotide long non-coding RNA. RefSeq lists it as uncharacterized. Lineage: Eukaryota; Metazoa; Arthropoda; Thecostraca; Balanomorpha; Balanidae. The record is from RefSeq and is a predicted model, not a curated record. The transcript has 5 exons.